This 464-nucleotide ribosomal RNA is filed under the name uncultured bacterium. RNAcentral's name for it is "partial 16S ribosomal RNA". It matches the Rfam family "Bacterial small subunit ribosomal RNA", at positions 28 to 507 of the family's 1533-position model. The record is from RNAcentral.
GACGAACGCUGGCGGCGUGCUUAACACAUGCAAGUCGAACGGAAAGGCCCUGCUUGCCGGGUACUCGAGUGGCGAACGGGUGAGUAACACGUGGGUGAUCUGCCCUGCACUUCGGGAUAAGCCUGGGAAACUGGGUCUAAUACCGGAUAGGAGCCAUUUUUAGUGUGAUGGUUGGAAAGUUUUUUCGGUGUAGGAUGAGCUCGCGGCCUAUCAGCUUGUUGGUGGGGUAAUGGCCUACCAAGGCGGCGACGGGUAGCCGGCCUGAGAGGGUGGACGGCCACAUUGGGACUGAGAUACGGCCCAGACUCCUACGGGAGGCAGCAGUGGGGAAUAUUGCACAAUGGGCGCAAGCCGAUGCAGCGACGCCGCGUGGGGGAGGACGGCCUUCGGGUUGUAAACUCCUUUCGCUAGGGACGAAGCUUUUUGUGACGGUACCUAGAGAAGAAGCACCGGCUAACUACGUG